This is a long non-coding RNA of Heterocephalus glaber (naked mole-rat), 2784 nucleotides long. RefSeq lists it as uncharacterized. Lineage: Eukaryota; Metazoa; Chordata; Mammalia; Rodentia; Bathyergidae. The record is from RefSeq and is a predicted model, not a curated record.
UUUCUGUUUCAUUUCCUGAGAGCCACUGCUUUUCCAAGUUUUCCACCAUCCAUCCUGGCAGUUUAUGGACAGCAUCUCCAGGCUCCUCUGGGGCUGAUUCAUCCUGUGUCUUAUGAGAGGGGUCCAUGUUCAAGAACUUCACCCUUCCAUUUUAUGUUCUGCAUCACAUAAUUCAGUGCAUUAGGAAUCCAAGGCAUUGGGGUGAACCUUAAAGUGGGAGCCAGACUUGUAAGUCACCUGCAUCCUCAGAAGCUUCUGCAUGACCUGUAUUAUUGCUAAGAAAAUGAAUCAAGAAUCACUUUGUAUGCACGUCUCUAUUUCCCAUGGAUACACACUUAAGACACAUGCACUGCUUUAGUUGGCAAGUGCUCUGGAGAAAUAGAAUCCUAAGGAGACCAGGAAGGGAGUUGAACAAAGGAAACAUGCUGACCUCUGAUGUGGCUUCAAAUGUGAGGAGUCGUCUGAGGAACUCUGAACUCGGAGCUGGAGUUUUCGGAAUUGCAGUCAAGAAAUUAAUUGAGAAGAACAAGAAUUUCAUCAGAUAACUGGGAAUUCAAAAUUGAACAAAAAUUUUAAGACAAACAAAUGAAAUAAUACAAAUUACCCAAUAGGUUUUAAUAGUAGAUUAUAUUCAACCAAAAAUAUGAUUUAUAAAUAGGAAUGUAAAUCUGAAGAAAUUUUCUAGUAUUUACCAUUGAGAAGCAAAUGAAUGAAAAAUGUAGACGAGAACAUACGGAAUGUGGAAGACACUGCAAAAGGCCUAAUAUGUGCAAAAUUUAAUCUGAGGAGAAAAGGUGAAAGAAUGGAACAGUAACAAUAGGUAAAGAGAUAUUUUUUAAAAUGUGUUAAAAUAUAUUAGAUGAGGUACAAGUUCCCAAUGAGAAAUGUAAUUGUGUUGUAUACCUAAAAUGUACCCAUAAAAGAAUUUAAGAAAAAAAUUUAUACUACGUGAUAGAUUCAAAAAGCACAGUAACUUUAAGGAAUACAUAUACAGAAAAAAUCACAGUCAAAAAUUGUAAAACUAUUUGAAAGCAAAGAAAAAAUGAGUGUUUUACAAGGAAACAGAGGGACAAAGAUGCUUGAACUUCAAGCAUUAAUAGGUAUGAUAACGGAUUUCUUAACAUGAACAAUGGAAACAAAACUACAUGUUAUAAAAUAUGACUGAAAGAAAAAAAGGGUUAGGCACUUUCCCACCCCGAAUGCAAGCACACAUACACAAUAUUGAAAGAGGUUUACAGAAAUAUAUUUCCAGAUAGAUGGUGAAGGAAUAAAUGAAAUGUGGAUACAUGAGUAAAUUAAAAUGUGUGUUAUCUGUAUAAAGAAAUUAUUUCUCAACCUAAGGAUGUGGCUCAGUGGGAGAGAGCACAUGCUUAGCAUAUGUGAGGCCCUGGAUUCAGUUCCUAGGACCAAACAUAAAGAAGAGAAAGAAGAUCAUGUUUGAUAGUGUUUAAGAUGCAGAGAAAAUAAAAAUACAUUGUAAAUGUAGUACAUUUACAGCGAUAGCACAUACACUUAAAGAAUUCGAGGUGCUUCUUUAUUGAGAUUUAAUUCAAUAUUAAUACAUAAUAAUUCUAAUAAUUCAAAAAUGAAGAUUGUAUUGCCUAAAGAAGUCACUGAAAUGGUAUAGUAGAAUUCAUAACUACCAAGCUAGCAGAGGUCAAGUUUAGAAUAAUCAAAAAUACUGAAUCUAAAAGAAGAUAGUGCAGAACAGCAAAUGAAACAUAGAAAAGUGUCUUGAAGGACAAAGAGUUGAUUUACAUCCAAAGUAAAAACCAAAGAGAUGGGAAAAGUUACAUCAUGUAAAAAAAUUACAAAGAAACCUGGUAUAGCACUACUGGAAUGACAUAGUAUUGAUUGUUAAGUAUAAAGUAAAAUUUAAGGAAUAUAUAUUACUGUUGAUUUUAAAAAGACAUUUUGUUAAGCUAAAAGGAUCAACAAAAGACAUAUAAUUCUGCAUUUACAUGAUCCUAAUGAUAUAGCCUCAAAGUUCAUUUUUAAAAAUAAAUAUCUGAGAGUCAUAGAUGUUUUAAUACAUUUCUUUCCCUGAGUAGUGAGACAAUUAGACACUAAGUAAAGCAUACUUAGAAGAUUUGGAAAGCUUAAUUAAUGAAGGCCUAACUGAGAAGCACUUCAUAAAAGAGGUUAUUAAAAAGGCCAAGAAGUAUAUGAAAUUAUGCUCAAACAGAAAAUGAAAAUUAAAACCCUAGUGAAAAAGCCUACAUACUCAAUACUUUAGUUAGACAAAGAUUGGCACUAAUACAUGUUGAUGUGGAUAGAACUCACAUAUACAGUUGAUUGGAAAAUAAAUUGAAACAACCACUUUACAAAAGUAUUUGGCAUUAUUUAUUAAAGCCGAAUGUAUACAUAGUCUAUGGGUAAAAAAUUUUAUUCCUGGAAUGUAAUCAAAAGAAAUGGAUGUAAAUAUUCCUUAAAAAUAUGUAAUACAUUCACAGAGGCAACAGUUUUUACAACUGUUAGCAAAGAGUAUCAAAGAGAGGCAAAUAAUGUAAAUAACUGAAAUACUCAUCUCUAGUAGAACCAGGAAAUCAGUUUGGAUUUCCUAAUGAUGCUAGUGCAUUAUCAUAAGCAGGAAGAAUGAAUGAACAAAUAUCAUGCACAAUAAUAUAAAAGAAUCUCACAAAUAUGAGAGAUGGAAUAAGCCAACUACUAAUUUUUUAAUCAUAUCAUUCUAUGAAUGUAAAACCCCAAAGUCAUGUACGUUUUGGCUAAGUCAAAAUAGUGUCUGCCUCUGCGAAGGAAAGAGAAGAUAGUUUUGGGAGUCAG